GUACUACUCCCUCCGUUUCGAAUUACUUGUCACGGGUAUGAAUGUAUCUAGAUGUGUUUUAACUCUAGAUACAUCUAUUUUUACGACGAGUAAUUUGGAACGGAGGGAGUGCUAC
Triticum urartu is the source of this 115-nucleotide non-coding RNA. The record is from Rfam. Lineage: Eukaryota; Viridiplantae; Streptophyta; Magnoliopsida; Poales; Poaceae.